ACCACAGCCAUCCAGACGGUUUGUGUGUGCAACAUCAGCAGUUAAGCAGCGAGUGGCGGAGGGAUCCCAGGUGCAGGGAACGUGGAUAGGAAUUCCAGUUCCCUCGACCGGGCCGUGGAGGCGAACAUGCGGGGCACAGGAUCUUCUACAGCAGAUGAAGUCACUCAGUACGCCACUGUCGCAACAGCUCUGUACCACCCCUGUAGUCCUCGGACACCAACUGCGCCUGAAGUUGACUGUACCAAAGCUUUCCAGACAUAGCGACCCCAGGUCCGAAGACUUCCUCAUCGACUGCGACGCUUGCCAAACGGCCGUCCGAGUACUGCAGGCAGCUCCUGGCUUACUGUCCUUCUGGUAACAGAUUUCCAGACGAUUGAACUGAUUGAUCUGAGUGUGGUGAUAGAAAAGUGUUAUCGCUGAGAACCCGAUAGACUUGCAGUCUCUCUUUCCUACUGUGAGGGAACCCGAAUAUGGUAUUGUAUAGCGCGUACAAUAAAUGCAUCUUGACGACUGUUGCUGGCAGCGUACAGAUUGCGAUGCAGUGGUCUUUUGCAGUACGGCGGUGUAUGCAAAUAAACAUGCUAUCGUUGUUUAA
Long non-coding RNA from Ornithodoros turicata, 595 nucleotides. RefSeq lists it as uncharacterized. The transcript has 2 exons. Lineage: Eukaryota; Metazoa; Arthropoda; Arachnida; Ixodida; Argasidae. The record is from RefSeq and is a predicted model, not a curated record.